Molecule: ribosomal RNA, 401 nt
Filed under: uncultured bacterium
Lineage: Bacteria
Description: bacterial SSU rRNA
Rfam family: Bacterial small subunit ribosomal RNA
Source: RNAcentral
GGGGAAUCUUGCACAAUGGGGGCAACCCUGAUGCAGCGACGCCGCGUGAGCGAUGAAGCCCUUCGGGGCGUAAAGCUCUUUCGACCGGAACGAUAAUGACGGUACCGGGAGAAGAAGCUGUGGCUAACUACGUGCCAGCAGCCGCGGUAAUACGUAGGCAGCAAGCGUUGUUCGGAGUUACUGGGCGUAAAGAGUGCGUAGGCGGUUUUCUAAGUUCGGUGUGAAAUCUCCCGGCUUAACUGGGAGGGUGCGCCGAAGACUGGGAAGCUGGAGUGUGGGAAAGGCAGGCGGAAUUCCUGGCGUAGCGGUGAAAUGCGUAGAUAUCAGGAGGAACACCGGCGGUGUAGACGGCUUGCUAGACCAUAACUGACGCUGAGGCACGAAAGCGUGGGUAGCAAACA